Molecule: long non-coding RNA, 330 nt
Organism: Brienomyrus brachyistius
Lineage: Eukaryota; Metazoa; Chordata; Actinopteri; Osteoglossiformes; Mormyridae
Exons: 3
Source: RefSeq, a predicted model, not a curated record
UGCAUCUGAAGCUCGUCUCUGAUUGGAUAAUGACGUGAGGGCGGGAGCACGCACCAUUUGCAGAGUGGAGAAGGAGAAGACAGAAAACGUCGAAGUCUUUAGGACAAAUUACAAACAUACGAUUUGAAUUUUCUUUUGAUGAUCUGUGUUUGUUCAUCAGAAAGUUUGCACGAGUAUUGCUGAGGAAAUGCAGAAUGUGCACGAAUUGGGUCAAGCCUACACAAUAAAUAAGGUACUGUGAAGUAACACGAAGUGAGUUUUAUGCUGAUCCGAAUGCCUGUGGUCCUCCACGCACUCCGGAGACAUAUGACGCAGCUGUUGCUGAUCUCC